Molecule: ribosomal RNA, 349 nt
Filed under: uncultured Brochothrix sp.
Lineage: Bacteria; Bacillati; Bacillota; Bacilli; Caryophanales; Listeriaceae
Description: bacterial SSU rRNA
Rfam family: Bacterial small subunit ribosomal RNA
Source: RNAcentral
GGUGGUGCAUGGUUGUCGUCAGCUCGUGUCGUGAGAUGUUGGGUUAAGUCCCGCAACGAGCGCAACCCUUGAUUUUAGUUGCCAGCAUUUAGUUGGGCACUCUAAAGUGACUGCCGGUGUAAGCCGGAGGAAGGUGGGGAUGACGUCAAAUCAUCAUGCCCCUUAUGACCUGGGCUACACACGUGCUACAAUGGAUAAUACAAAGGGUCGCGAAGCCGCGAGGUGGAGCCAAUCCCAUAAAAUUAUUCUCAGUUCGGAUUGCAGGCUGCAACUCGCCUGCAUGAAGCCGGAAUCGCUAGUAAUCGUAGAUCAGCAUGCUACGGUGAAUACGUUCCCGGGCCUUGUACAC